AGUUUGAUACUGGCUCAGGAUGAACGCUGGCGGCGUGCCUAAUACAUGCAAGUCGAGCGGUAAGGCCCUUCGGGGUACACGAGCGGCGGACGGCUGAGUAACACGUAGGAACGUACCCCAAAGUGAGGGAUAAGCACCAGAAAUGGUGUCUAAUACCGCAUGUGCUCUAAGGAGUAAAGCUCCGGCGCUUUGGGAACGGCCUGCGCAUGAUUAGCUAGAUGGUGAGGUAAUGGCUCACCAUGGCGACGAUCAUUAGCUGGUCUGAGAGGAUGAUCAGCCAGACUGGGACUGAGACACGGCCCAGACUCCUACGGGAGGCAGCAGUAGGGAAUUUUCCACAAUGGGCGAAAGCCUGAUGGAGCAACGCCGCGUGCAGGAUGAAUGCCUUCGGGUUGUAAACUGCUUUUAUAUGUGACGAAUAUGACGGUAGCAUAUGAAUAAGGAUCGGCUAACUCCGUGCCAGCAGCCGCGGUCAUACGGAGGAUCCAAGCGUUAUCCGGAAUUACUGGGCGUAAAGAGUUGCGUAGGCGGCAUAGUAAGCAGAUAGUGAAAGCGUGUGGCUCAACCAUACUCACAUUAUCUGAACUGCUAAGCUAGAGGACGAGAGAGGUCACUGGAAUUCCUAGUGUAGGAGUGAAAUCCGUAGAUAUUAGGAGGAACACCAAUGGCGUAGGCAGGUGACUGGCUCGUUCCUGACGCUCAGGCACGAAAGCGUGGGGAGCAAACGGGAUUAGAUACCCCGGUAGUCCACGCCGUAAACGAUGGAUGCUAGCUGUUAGAGGUAUCGACCCCUCUAGUAGCGAAGCUAACGCGUUAAGCAUCCCGCCUG
Molecule: ribosomal RNA, 829 nt
Filed under: uncultured bacterium
Lineage: Bacteria
Description: bacterial SSU rRNA
Rfam family: Bacterial small subunit ribosomal RNA
Source: RNAcentral